Molecule: transfer RNA, 90 nt
Filed under: Accumulibacter sp.
Lineage: Bacteria; Pseudomonadati; Pseudomonadota; Betaproteobacteria
Description: tRNA-Ser
Rfam family: tRNA
About the family: Transfer RNA (tRNA) molecules are approximately 80 nucleotides in length. Their secondary structure includes four short double-helical elements and three loops (D, anti-codon, and T loops).
Source: RNAcentral
GGAGAGGUGGCAGAGUGGUCUAUUGUACCUGACUCGAAAUCAGGCGAUGUCAUACGGCAUCCGAGGGUUCGAAUCCCUCCCUCUCCGCCA